Molecule: long non-coding RNA, 2125 nt
Organism: Ictalurus punctatus (channel catfish)
Lineage: Eukaryota; Metazoa; Chordata; Actinopteri; Siluriformes; Ictaluridae
Exons: 3
Source: RefSeq, a predicted model, not a curated record
GAUUUUAAAAAAAAUCUUUUACGUGUAUUGAAAACGGUGGUUGCUAACAAGUUCCUAAAUGGGAUUACAGACAUUGUCGGGGACAUUAAACAUCACGCCGAAUAGGAAAAAACUUUGCAGAUAAACUGGUUCAGUUUUUUGACUUAGGCUGGAAAGAUUGUUUGCCACGACAUAAUUGGUGAUCUCCGACGUGAUUGAUUAAGGAACAAAGAGGGAGACUGAAACUGUGAAGACUGGCCCGGGGGAAAACUGCACAAGCGUGGCCACUCAUUUUAAGCUGUCUAUUCACAGGAACAGAGCUGGGGACCGAGAGAGGAGACACAAGUUCCUUGUCCAGUGACUCCUGGAGAACAGGUGUACCUAGGGGUGUUCGACCCCAGAAGGGAAGGGCCAUACAAAGUGAGCACCUAGAUUAAGACCUAGGAGAAUUGGAGGAUCAGGUGAUUGAAAGCGAUGAUCCAGUGGUUGACAUAUCAGAAGAAAGAACAAGCCAAGACGUGAGAGAGGGUAUAAAUGAAGGUAAGGGGGAACCAAUGGCACUCUCAGGCGAUGGCGAAGAAGGUCAGUCAGGGGUUUUACCAACAGAACAGGAGGAAAGAAGGGAUCCUGUUGCUGAGAGGGGUUCUGACAAGCCUGAUGCACCUGCUGAAGCAGAAAAAGGCCCAAGCAGACAUCCAUUCUAGGACAACCUUUCCACAAUUGACUCUUCAGAGCUUGACUGGUCUCCAAAACAGUACUGAACUAGAGCUGAAUGAGACAAUCAGUGAGCCAUAGUGGAUCUCUGAUCAGUUGCAAGAGAAUGGAACAGAUUCCAGUUCCUCAAGUAAGGAUGAAGAAGAGGCUUGAUGAACCAUGCCCACACCCAGUAAGUGCUAGCCUAAACCUCUCCCCAAGGGUGACCCACUGCGAUACGCAAAGUAUCUGGGUCAGAGAUAAACAUUUCUAAGACAUCCCCUGAGAAAGGAUGUGAUGGAUUUUUUAUUUUUGCUUUUUCCAUUUUUAUAUUUUUUGUAUCUUUUCAAUUUUCUAUGAAAAUAUAAUCAAGUGUGAUUAGAGACAGGGUGAUCACUGUCUGACUUAUCAUGGUAAUCGUACUGAGAAAAUUUUUUGUAUUCAUGUUUAUUAGUCUAUACUUGUAUCAGCUAUAUGGGCUUAAUCAACUCUGUAUUCUACAUAACCGUGACAACCACAGGCAAGUGCUAAACCAAAUGCAUGCUCACGCUCACAAACACUGUCUUGAAUUUUGUGGUUAGGGAAAGGGAGACAGAAUCAUUUACUCCUUUCUAGACAAUGGGAGAGGAGAUGUUUGUUUCUGGUCUCCAGAGAGAGUGGUUUCAGGAUUUGGUCGUUGGUAGAUGGCUGAUGUGAUCAUACUUUGAUCACUAGCAAGUGUUAAAGAAGUGACUGGAUUGUGAGAUUACUCUCUCAAGCUAUGUGGGACUUAAGAAGUUCCAGAGGGGGAAAAUAUAUAGAAAAUAUUUAUGAAGUGUAAUUAAUAUGUGUAACUAACAUUUGUAUAUGUUAAAGAAGUGUAUUCAAUAUGUAUAACCAAGAUUUUGAAUUAUUAAGCAUAAUCAAAUAAUCAAUAUUAGUUAACAAGCAUAAUCUAUAUGUAUAAUCAAUAUUUAAAAACAUAAUCUAAAUCCACAGAACAAUGGUUGAUCAAGUUAUAUUCUAAGUGUGUAAUGAGUUAGAUCAAUUCUGUGUCUUACUGUACAAUAAUUGUUUUUUCUGUACCAGCCUGUAUCUUCCUCCACAGAAGCAAAUAACUUUGAGGCCAGAUAUCAAUUAACAAGUUAGGAUAAGGCCUUAGGAGGGGAGGUAGGUCUCAGCUAGGACAGCAGGUAGAAGCAGACAGAAACUCAUUGAAGCCUAAAAAGGGAGUAUUGGUCAAGGUCAGGGAAUAACAAUAAAAAAGAGUCUGACUGAGUGAACACUUUUUUUUAAAGAAAUCUUGUCCUCAUAAAACUGUCCUCAUAAAACUGGGCAAAACCCCACCUAUGAUAAGUACGCUGUGGAGAAAGGUAUAAAAAAAAAAAAGAGCUGUGUGUUUGCAUAAUUUAGACUUUCUGCAGACUGUCUCACUUUGUUGUUUCAAUAAAGUUUAUUUACUUUUUGAAAUCUA